RNAcentral lists this ribosomal RNA (253 nucleotides) under uncultured bacterium. RNAcentral describes it as "partial 16S ribosomal RNA". It matches the Rfam family "Bacterial small subunit ribosomal RNA", at positions 524 to 776 of the family's 1533-position model. The record is from RNAcentral.
UACGUAGGGUGCAAGCGUUGUCCGGAAUUAUUGGGCGUAAAGAGCUCGUAGGCGGUCUGUCGCGUCGGAUGUGAAAACCCAGGGCUCAACCCUGGGCCUGCAUUCGAUACGGGCAGACUAGAGUUCGGUAGGGGAGACUGGAAUUCCUGGUGUAGCGGUGAAAUGCGCAGAUAUCAGGAGGAACACCGGUGGCGAAGGCGGGUCUCUGGGCCGUAACUGACGCUGAGACACGAAAGCGUGGGUAGCAAACAGG